This 468-nucleotide ribosomal RNA is filed under the name uncultured bacterium. Its description in RNAcentral is "partial 16S ribosomal RNA". It matches the Rfam family "Bacterial small subunit ribosomal RNA", at positions 28 to 507 of the family's 1533-position model. The record is from RNAcentral.
GACGAACGCUGGCGGCGUGCUUAACACAUGCAAGUCGAACGGUGAUGCUCCAGCUUGCUGGAGUGGAUCAGUGACGAACGGGUGAGUAACACGUGAGCAACCUGCCCCAGACUCUGGAAUAAGCGCUGGAAACGGCGUCUAAUACUGGAUACGAAACUGGCCCGCAUGGGCAUGGUUUGGAAAGUUUUUCGGUUUUGGAUGGGCUCGCGGCUUACCAGCUUGUUGGUGAGGUAAUGGCUCACCAAGGCGACGACGGCUAGCCGGCCUGAGAGGGCGAACGGGGACACUGGGACUGAGAGACGGCCCAGACGCCUACGGGAGGCAGCGGUGGGGAAUAUUGCACAAUGGGCGAAAGCCUGAUGCAGCGACGCCGCGUGAGGGAUGACGGCCUUCGGGUUGUAAACCUCUUUCAGCAGGGAAGAAGCGAAAGUGACGGUACCUGCAGAAGAAGCACCGGCUAACUACGUG